RNAcentral lists this ribosomal RNA (483 nucleotides) under uncultured bacterium. Its description in RNAcentral is "bacterial SSU rRNA". It matches the Rfam family "Bacterial small subunit ribosomal RNA", at positions 30 to 507 of the family's 1533-position model. The record is from RNAcentral.
AUUGAACGCUGGCGGCAUGCCUUACACAUGCAAGUCGAACGGCAGCACGGGAGCAAUCCUGGUGGCGAGUGGCGAACGGGUGAGUAAUAUAUCGGAACGUGCCCAGUCGUGGGGGAUAACGUAGCGAAAGCUACGCUAAUACCGCAUACGAUCUAUGGAUGAAAGCGGGGGAUCUUCGGACCUCGCGCCAUUAGAUGAGCCUAGGUCGGAUUAGCUAGUUGGUGAGGUAAUGGCUCACCGAGCCGACGAUCUGUAGCUGGUCUGAGAGGACGACCAGCCACACUGGGACUGAGACACGGCCCAGACUCCUACGGGAGGCAGCAGUGGGGAAUUUUGGACAAUGGGCGCAAGCCUGAUCCAGCAAUGCCGCGUGCAGGAUGAAGGCCUUCGGGUUGUAAACUGCUUUGUACGGAACGAAACGGUGAGCUCUAAUACAGUUUGCUAAUGACGGUACCGUAAGAAUAAGCACCGGCUAACUACGUG